AUUGAACGCUAGCGGGAUGCUUUACACAUGCAAGUCGAGCGGCAGCGCGGACUUCGGUCUGGCGGCGAGUGGCGAACGGGUGAGUAAUGUAUCGGAACGUGCCCAGUAGCGGGGGAUAGCUACGCGAAAGCGUAGCUAAUACCGCAUACGCCCUACGGGGGAAAGCAGAGGAUCGUAAGACCUUGCACUAUUGGAGCGGCCGAUAUCGGAUUAGCUAGUUGGUGAGGUAACGGCUCACCAAGGCGACGAUCCGUAGCUGGUUUGAGAGGACGACCAGCCACACUGGGACUGAGACACGGCCCAGACUCCUACGGGAGGCAGCAGUGGGGAAUUUUGGACAAUGGGGGCAACCCUGAUCCAGCCAUCCCGCGUGUGCGAUGAGGGCCUUCGGGUUGUAAAGCACUUUUGGCAGGAAAGAAACGUCGCGGGCUAAUACCCCGUGGAACUGACGGUACCUGCAGAAUAAGCACCGGCUAACUACGUG
RNAcentral lists this ribosomal RNA (484 nucleotides) under uncultured bacterium. RNAcentral's name for it is "partial 16S ribosomal RNA". It matches the Rfam family "Bacterial small subunit ribosomal RNA", at positions 30 to 507 of the family's 1533-position model. The record is from RNAcentral.